RNAcentral lists this ribosomal RNA (500 nucleotides) under uncultured bacterium. Its description in RNAcentral is "bacterial SSU rRNA". It matches the Rfam family "Bacterial small subunit ribosomal RNA", at positions 32 to 537 of the family's 1533-position model. The record is from RNAcentral.
AAUCAACGCUGGCGGCGCGCUUAACACAUGCAAGUCGAACGAGGAAGGGAGCAAUCCUGAGUAAAGUGGCGCACUGGUGAGUAACACGUGGGUAAUUUACCUUCUUGUGGGGAAUAACCCUGGGAAACUAGGGCUAAUACCGCAUACGUCCGAGAGGAGAAAGCCGCAAGGCGCAGGAAGAGAAGCCCGCGGCCGAUUAGCUAGUUGGCGGGGUAAAGGCCCACCAAGGCGACGAUCGGUAGCUGGUCUGAGAGGAUGAUCAGCCACACUGGAACUGAGACACGGUCCAGACUCCUACGGGAGGCAGCAGUGGGGAAUAUUGGACAAUGGGCGCAAGCCUGAUCCAGCCAUGCCGCGUGUGUGAAGAAGGCCUUCGGGUUGUAAAGCACUUUUGUUGGGGAAGAAAAGCUCGUGGUUAAUACCCGCGGGUUCUGACGGUACCCAAAGAAUAAGCACCGGCUAACUUCGUGCCAGCAGCCGCGGUAAUACGAAGGGUGCAA